AAAUCAUGAAUAAACUCCCAUUCACAAUUGCUGCAAAGAGAAUAAAAUACCUAGGAAUACAGCUAACAAGGAAAAUGAAGGACCUCUUCAAGGUGAAGGGGUUGGGUGCAGGAAGAGAGAACAUUAAGAAAAAUAGCUAAUGCAUACUGGGCUUAAUACCUAGGUGAUGAGUUGAUAGGUGUCCUUUCCCAUAUCAUUUCCAAUAUUUGGAUUUAAAUCUGUCCAUUGAUAUUCUCUGUCAUAGCAAAAGCUUCAUUCAGGUUGUUACCUUGACUUAUUCUGUUAUUCAUGAUCUAGUAUCAUUUGUGCAUACCACAUUUUAAGAUUAAUACUUUAUAUAUGUGUACAACAUGGAUAAUAUUUAACUUAAAGAUCCAUGACAACAUUUAUCUUUAAGAUCUGGGGUGGAUUAAAAUGAGAAAGACUUCUCACAGGCAUUUCCACUUAGUCAUGCUUUAGGAUUAGUUUUUUCUUAAGAUGUCUUCUCCCUCCAAGCUAAUAUCCACCACUUGUUUGGUUUUACCAGGAAAUGUAAACUCACAUUCUCUUUGACCAUAACUAGAAAAAUGUGAGAUGACUCCUCCAUCCAGUACAUAUUCACUGUUGGGAAUGCAGACUUGGAAUCAUACUGGCUCCUCUCUUACUCGGCAAAUUUACCUUGGAGCUCCUGACACUGCAGCAUGAAGGACCAUCACUUGUACAGAUAGAUCCCUGCCAAGGUCCUAGUAAGGU
RNAcentral lists this long non-coding RNA (732 nucleotides) under Pan troglodytes (chimpanzee). RNAcentral's name for it is "long non-coding RNA NONPTRT003072". The record is from RNAcentral. Lineage: Eukaryota; Metazoa; Chordata; Mammalia; Primates; Hominidae.